CGAAGGGUGCAAGCGUUACUCGGGAUUACUGGGCGUAAAGCGUGCGUAGGUGGUUUGUUAAGUCUGAUGUGAAAGCCCUGGGCUCAACCUGGGAACUGCAUUGGAAACUGGCUUACUAGAGUGCGGUAGAGGGUAGUGGAAUUCCCGGUGUAGCAGUGAAAUGCGUAGAUAUCGGGAGGAACAUCUGUGGCGAAGGCGACUACCUGGACCAGCACUGACACUGAGGCACGAAAGCGUGGGGAGCAAACAGGAUUAGAUACCCUGGUAGUCCACGCCCUAAACGAUGCGAACUGGAUGUUGGGAGCAACUUGGCUCUCAGUAUCGAAGCUAACGCGUUAAGUUCGCCGCCUGGGAAGUACGGUCGCAAGACUG
RNAcentral lists this ribosomal RNA (372 nucleotides) under uncultured organism. RNAcentral describes it as "bacterial SSU rRNA". It matches the Rfam family "Bacterial small subunit ribosomal RNA", at positions 526 to 896 of the family's 1533-position model. The record is from RNAcentral.